Homo sapiens (human) is the source of this 1180-nucleotide long non-coding RNA. Lineage: Eukaryota; Metazoa; Chordata; Mammalia; Primates; Hominidae. The record is from Ensembl.
AUCUUUUGAGAGAAGGUGGACAAUGAAUUUCAUUUAUUGUUAUUGCUGUCAUAACGAUGAGCACUUCACAACAGCUGUCACCACCAGAUGCAGCAGCAAUUGCAUGGAAUCAUAACUUAAAAAAUUAACAACCAGAUUUCUGAAGUUAGAGUUCUUAGUUUCAAAUCUUGUCUGCAUCAAAAUUGCUCUGUGACUUUGGGAAAGUUUAACCACUGAUUUCUACCUUGAAGAAAAAAAUGAGUAUAAUAAUAUCUAUCUCGUAAAAUGGUGGUGAAGAUCACAUGGGAUAAUGCAAAUGAAGUUUGUAUCUUAUUGCCUGAUACAUAAAGUAUAUUCAAUAAAUAUUUGCCAUUAUGAUUACCAUUAUAAUUAUACAAUUUAGAAAACUCACAACAAAUCCCACUGCUGAAUAACUGAAACAGUCAUUAUUUCAUGUAAAAAUUAUUGCCCACGGAAGGUCCUAUCUUCUUCAUUGUCCAAAGAAUAUAUUACAUUAAAUAUGGCUUUCAUUGUAAUUAUUAAAAAUAGUUUAUAUUUAUUCAUAUCUAGGUUUUCAUCAAAGUUAUGCAUACUACUGAAUACUACACUGAAAGAACCACUAAGUACUACAAGACUUAUUACAUAGAACAGGAGUCAUCUAUCCACUUUUCCUCCUAAUUUCACAAUCUCUAGAGGGAACAGUUUUCAACUACACACAGUCCUCACAUAGUGUGACAGUGCCUGACCAUAAGAGUGACUGUGAAAUGGGACAUUGUAUAAGCUAUCUUAAUAACCAAUAGAAAAUGAUGAUGGUUCUGUGACCUUUAAAAAUGUUUGUCAAAACAUUAAAGACUUUUAUCAUCAGUGAUAAAUAUAUAAGAAAAUUAGAAAAGAAAAAUAGUGAAGCUAAUAUUUUAUUACAUAUUGUGAUUUAACAUUUAUUUCUUCGUAAAAACUCAAGAGUAGUUGGACAGAUGAUAAGGAGUGAGCAUUUUCUAUGCCUUUAUAAAUUGUCAUAAUCCUUUCUCAAACUGGGUGAGCUUCAAAUAUUUCACCUUUUGCAUUUUCAAUAUCAUGAACUAUCUCAAAAGGAUCCAUCAAUGUAAAGUUUUUAUUGGCAUCACUUCCUUUGGGAGUCUUCAUCCUUUUGUCAUAAGUGCUUUUCUCAUAUAUGUCAAUAAAAUUCUCCACUAAAUUUUUC